Homo sapiens (human) is the source of this 2878-nucleotide long non-coding RNA. RefSeq lists it as uncharacterized. The transcript has 3 exons. Lineage: Eukaryota; Metazoa; Chordata; Mammalia; Primates; Hominidae. The record is from RefSeq and is a predicted model, not a curated record.
CAUUAGAUGUUUCUGUUAUUAUUAUUUUACUUCUUUGUAUCACCCCAGAGAUUUUUAUUUUCUUCAAAGAUUGAACAUGGCAACUGACAGGAGCUUAAUGGAUACUCGUUACAUUUUAUUGCAGUGAUAUUGUACCUACUAAAUUAAAUGGUGGACCAGAGAGCCAGUGUGGCAUGAUGAAAAGCAGAGUCUCCGGAGAUGUGAUACUUGGGUCCACAUGCUGGCACCACCACUUGAGGCAGAUGACCUGGCCUCGGGGGUCUCUGUUUCCUUGUCUGUAAUGCCUACUUCAUAGUUUUGUUAUGAGAAUGAAGUGGAUUAAUACUUCCGUGGUGCUUCACACUGUGCCUGGAACAUAGUAAGCCUGACAACACCUGAGCGACCAUCUGGAGCCCACACAUCCUCAACAGAUCACACUGCUGCUUGGCCACUGCUCUCCACCCUCUUCUGAGGCUGCUGCUUAUACCACAGUGUUGAUGGCCUCCUCUCUGCUCCCCAGAGCAGAUGCUCCCACCAACACUGCUGCUCUUGGGCAUCAGAUAGGUUCUGCGAGCUUCACCAUUGUCAGAAGGCCCAGAUGGCUCCGGGAGGUCCCAUGGAUGCUCAGCCCAAACCAGGAGUUUUCUCACACUCCAUGCAAGUGAGUUGGCGCAGAUAGACGUGCGGAAAUUGGAAUCUAACUCCACAUAAACCAGUUAUGUAUACGGGAAGUCCUUAUUUUGCAUAGUAAUGCAAGACCAUAAAAAUGACUGUGUAAGCUGAAACCCUGCAAAGCAAUCUUAAUCGAAGGGAAUAAUUACAGUUGUUCUGUGACCUUUAAACAUUUUUGUCAAAACAUUAAACAUUCUCUUACUGUUGUUUAUAAAUGCAUGGGGAAAUGAAAAAUUAACAAAACUAAUAUUUAUUUAUUACACUGUAAUUUAAAACAUUAGAAACAUUGAGAAUUAAGGUGUUUUAUUUCUUUGUAAAGAACAUAUCAAAAGUAGUUUGCACAGUUCUUGCCUUUCUCCCCUUACUGUAUAGCUUAUGAUACAGCUGGAGCAACUUUUCUAUGCCUUGGUGAAUUGUCGUACUUUGUUGUAAGUGUAGUCUAGUUCUAAGUCAGGUCCUAAUGUUUUAUCCUUUGCUCUUGCAAUGUUACAAAAUAUCUAUAAGAAUUCCUUGAAGGUGAAGUUUUUUGCCAGUGCCACUUCCACUGGCACAUCUUCAUUUUCUUGGAAUCUGGAUGCAGAUUUCCCAGCUGCAUGCUUACAUGUGCUAGCAGCUUCAUCACUAGCUUGACAUCAAUCAAUUCAUGCUAAAUUCUGGAAUGAGGAAACAAGCCUUUACUGGCAGUAAAAUAUUCUUCUUCAGUAUCCUUGUAAUUACCAUUUUCUUUCAAUGUGGCAACUAAGAUCAAUGCUUUGGCCAGGAUGCAAGCCAAACUACUUCGGAUUUUGAAAUAUUACAGUCUUCAAUCCAAAGUAGAAAACUCUCCAAGCAUAAGCAGCUUUCUGGUCCUAUUGCAAUUUAAACUAAGAGAUGAAGCAACGUUACCUUGCUUUUAAUACACAUUGGAUUUUUCCAGUGCAGUUUGUUCCAUAGCUCCAUGCAGGCCAUGGUGCAUCCAGUCUUUGCUCUGCUCUUGCCAAUUUCACAUCUUCAAUCUAAUCACAUCCAGUUUACUGCCGGCAUUAUCACUUUUUGUUUCUUUGUUGCAUUUUUAUUUUUGUUAGCUUACCCUCUAUCCAGUGAUCCAUUUUUUGUAAAAUUUUCAUCACAUGGAUUUAUCACUGGAAGACAAGGAGGCAACACAACUUCACAUUUUGCUGUCUGGGCAUGAACUGAGUAACAGAUAUGCAAUGACUAAUCAAGGACAGGCUUUGAAAGAAGUGAUGUGAUUGGUUCAUCAUGAUGUGCAUCUGUUGUUUAUAUCAUGAUUUGCGGACUGGCAAGCAGGCAGUGAAGUUUGUACUUUAUGCAAUUAUAGUUAAUAUAUACUGUGGUGACUGAAAUUUGAACUAGUUUUUGGGAACGGGUAUUAUUUCGCUAAACUGAAACUUGUGCACAUCAGUGCCAUAAAAAGCAAGGACUGCUUAUUAAUGUGUACCAACCAAAUACUUUUGGGCACAUUCACAGCACAGCACUUCCUCCUCCUUGUGGUUGGACGGUUCCACGUGACCAGUCUAGCCAAUGGAUUGUGAGCAGAAGUUACAUGUGUCAGUUCCGUGCCAAACCAUUUGAUGGACAGUCAGUCGUGUCCUAGCCCCUGAGGAUAUCGGAGGAGGUGGCUGCUCUGUUAGCCUAAGUCUCUGAGCAACAAAGGUGAGCAGAGGCCCCCUGCUGAGAUAUGAUGGACAUGUAGCAUAAGCAAGAAGUAAACCUUUGUUUUAAGCCACUGAGAUCUUGGGGUUAUUUGUUUCUGUAGCAUAGCAACUCGUUAUGAUUGAUAUAAAAUAUCAUCAGGAGGUAAUCUAGGAAAAGGAGGAUAGGGAGCUGGGCAGAAUUUAGAACUCAGAAAUUGGCAGCUGAUAGUAAAAGGGCUCCAAAUUUGUAGGGGUAGGAGGAGAGGAAGAAUCAGGGGCAUGUACUUAAAAAAUCUUUAUAUGAUAAAAAAAAAAUUAGCACAGACACAGAAAAUAAAUGUAUAGCUUAAUAAAUUAUUAAAAAAUGAAGGUUAUCCAUUUAUGGAUUAAUAGAUUAAUGGACUAUCAUGGGAGUGGGACUCGUGGUUUAUAAGAAGAGGAAGAGAGACCUGAGCUAGCACUCAGCCCCCUUGCCAUGCAAUGCUCUGUACCAGUUUAGGACUCUGCAGAAAGUGCCUACCAUCAAGAAUGUCUCUCGCCAGACGUGGUAACUUGACCUUGAACUUCUCAGCCUCCAUAACUGUAAGAAAUAA